RNAcentral lists this ribosomal RNA (465 nucleotides) under uncultured bacterium. RNAcentral describes it as "partial 16S ribosomal RNA". It matches the Rfam family "Bacterial small subunit ribosomal RNA", at positions 28 to 507 of the family's 1533-position model. The record is from RNAcentral.
GACGAACGCUGGCGGCGUGCUUAACACAUGCAAGUCGAACGGAAAGGCCCCUUUGGGGGUACUCGAGUGGCGAACGGGCGAGUAACACGCGAGUAACCUGCCCUUGACUUCGGGAUAACUUCAGGAAACUGGGGCUAAUACCGGAUAGGAAUCCUUGCUGCAUGGUGGGGGUUGGAAAGCUUCGGCGGUUUUGGAUGGACUCGCGGCUUAUCAGCUUGUUGGUGGGGUAGUGGCUUACCAAGGCUUUGACGGGUAGCCGGCCUGAGAGGGCGACCGGCCACAUUGGGACUGAGAUACGGCCCAGACUCCUACGGGAGGCAGCAGUGGGGAAUAUUGCACAAUGGGCGGAAGCCUGAUGCAGCAACGCCGCGUGCGGGAUGACGGCCUUCGGGUUGUAAACCGCUUUCAGCAGGGGCGAAGCUUGUGGUGACGGUACCUGCAGAAGAAGCACCGGCUAACUACGUG